AUAUAUGUAGACAGCGAAACACAAACAUAUACAGUGAAGCGCAAUGUGAAAUGCCAAGCAGCCAUAACAAUCCGUCCGCAAAAACACGUAAGGUCAAGAACCACUCAAACAAAAGUGCCAAAUAUGAUAAGUAGAGGUAUAGACUUUCCGUUCCGGCCGUUUUGAUUUUUGUGAAAAAUCCAGCAAUACGAUAAUUUUAUGCUAAGGUACGGAGGUUGAGUUCAUUUCAACAAAAAAUCACAGCACACAGACGACGUCAUGUGAAAUUGAACAUUUUGAGGAUAGCGCUGUAUGGUCUGAUACAGAAAGCACGUCGACGAUGAGCAAUAGCAACAAUGGAUCAGACUCUCAAUGUUCAAAUGAGUUAAGC
This is a long non-coding RNA of Xenia sp. Carnegie-2017, 370 nucleotides long. RefSeq lists it as uncharacterized. Lineage: Eukaryota; Metazoa; Cnidaria; Anthozoa; Malacalcyonacea; Xeniidae. The transcript is spliced from 2 exons. The record is from RefSeq and is a predicted model, not a curated record.